Molecule: long non-coding RNA, 19431 nt
Filed under: Setaria viridis
Lineage: Eukaryota; Viridiplantae; Streptophyta; Magnoliopsida; Poales; Poaceae
Description: long non-coding RNA (SVIR_LNC000257)
Source: RNAcentral
UAGGAAUCCACAUAUACAAUCAUCGUUUACACUGAAAAAAUGGAACUUCCCUUGAAUCUGCCACCCCAAUAGGGUGCUCCUAUCUUGUUGUCACACCCGAUUUUAAAACAAAAUCUAGUGUUGUAUGUCAGGAUCAAGUUUCAUACAUAUGGUGACAUCAUCAGUGAAUAACAGUAACAAUAUCACGUAAAGGAAUAUAAAUAAAGACUUACGAGUCUAUCAGAGAUAAACAACUUAAUCCUAGAAACAAAAGCUCCAAACUUCACAGGCAAUCGACCGGGGGUUGCGUACGCCUAGAACUCAACACCAUCUUCCCAACAACUUCAUAGCAGCUUCUUCUUCUGAGCAACAUUGGUUAUAGCAAGAGUGAGCACAUGUCAUACUCAGCAAGUGUGGGGAAAAUAUAAAUGCAAGGCUUAAAUAAGGAAAGGCUGAUAGGUUUACAGCGAUAAGCAAUUUUAGUUGGUCAAAUUUUAUUAGCACCUAAAUACUAAGGUAUAUAUACCAAUCCACAAUUAACAUAAACAUAAGCCACAAGCAUAUGACACAACCAUAACCACGAUUUAAGUCUAUCUUCAAGUAUAUUAAUCAUGUGAGGGGUUUAGGCCGCUCUUAACCAUGAGCUCGGCUGAUAUAUCAGUUUUACACUCUGCAGAGGUUGUACAUCUUUACCCACAAGUCACGUAAAAGUUUAGAAGAACUUUAGACCCAACCGUGAUGUACUGAUCACGCACUCAUCGUACUAACGAGGUGUGACUGUAUAGGGACGCUACGAGGUCUUUACAAAAAUUCCCUAAUAAGUGGUAACCCACUAAGAUUUCAGGUCGAAGCAGAGCAUAAACCUCUCUCAAGACUGCGAAGCUACCAUAGAGCAAAUCAGACUGAGUGCCGGGUUAUACCCCAUCAACGCCUCCCCUCUUGCUCUUUCGGUAAGAUUAUCCCAAACUAGAGUCCCUAAUUAAUUAGCCAAGAUCAGAGCCAUAUAGUCCUUGUGGUUGCACUGUUUUCUUGGGUGGUCCUCCAUGUUCCAAUUAAGCAUGAUGAUCUUAUAUUAAUGAAAGGUAUAGCAUAAAUAAAACAAGUUAAUCUUAAACCACCAUAACCCAUGGUAUCGCAACUAAGCAUAUCUACCCAACAAAAAGGUAAAAAUCAGGUUGACAAGGAAUGAUCAUAAAAACUAGGCAAACCUUAAUAGGACCCAUCAAUAUUAAAUGCAGAGCAAUGCAAUACAAUUAAAUAUAGCUAUUGGAACAAAAGCAUAAGGACACACUUGCCUUUCUCUAAAUAAUAGCUGCUCAGAUUAACUUCAGCUCUUGUUCCUCGAAGCUCUCGAACAAUGUUCCUUCUACUCGCAUCAAUCGUUGGCACAAGCAUACAAAGCAAACAACAAUCACAACAAAGAACAAUACAUCAAUCAAAAGAAAAGCUUUGAAAGAACGCACAAAAGGAUAGGGAUCGAUUCUAGGAUCACGCGAAUGAAAGGGACAAGAGCUACAUGCUUCAUUUAUUUUAGUUGAGAAAAAUAAUAUAAAGAUAUUUCAAAGAAAUAUCCUUAAUUAGAAUUAAUCAAGUCAUAUUUACGUAUGAAAAGACGAUGUAAAGCUUAGUCCAAUUUUAUGUAUAAAUAUUUAAGUACAAUUUUAUACAAAUUAAACAUUUGAUUUUUAAAAAUAGCAUGUAAAAGCAUCUAAGGAUAUAAAUUUAUUAUUUGGGUUGAACUAACCAAAUAUAAUUGAAAACACAUUUAUAUUCAUAUUAGUCCAAUUAAUAUUUAAUAAAGAAAAACUGAGACAUAACCUAUGUAGCUUUUAUUCAUAAAACAAAUUAAAUAAACAUUAAUCAAAUUAAGUUUAAUUUAUAAAAAGUCAAGGUAUAUCUCUAAUUAGCUUUUAAUUGGAUGAGUUGUUUAAAUAAACAUUAACCAAAUUUACAUUAGUUAUGAAAACACGAGGUUGAACUCUAAUUAGAUUUUAAUUAGGAAAGCAAGUAUAUAAGUACUUAAUCAUAUUACUAUUUUGAACAAAUUAUAAAACAAAGAAUAUGAUCAACAUUGCUUCUAAUGCAUGAUUUAAGUUGACAUGAAUCUAACGCAAAAAGAACAAGGUUAAACGGAGGUAAAACGUAGAAUCUAUGAGCUAAACAAGCUACAGGAGUCUAAUCGCGAUUAACCCUAGAUAACAGGGGCUAGCAAGGAAGAUUCCCGAGACACAUGGAAUAGAGCUCACCAUUAGGUCAAAACAUAGGGUUAGAUCUGUUAAAGUGCUCGGGUUCCUACCUCGCCUUAUAUUGCUGGGGGUAGGGUUACAGAUUGGUUGUUUACUAGUCGGAUUCGACCAGAGAGUCUUACUCUAAUUGCUACAAAUAGUUUCCUAAUCCUCGACUAGUCAUUGUCCUCCACGUAGACCACGCCGUCCUGCACCAUAGCCUCUAUGUUUGACACAUCUCGGUGUACAGCCCCGUAUUGUAGGAAUGUCCAAGCCUCCAGGUGGGCCCAUAGAUGUAUGGCCGAUAAGCCCCCGAGUACUUUUUAGUCAAAUGCAGUAGUUCCGAGUACUUCUAUAGAUGUCUCCGACUAGUUUGUGGUGCUCCUUUGCGUACUCCAUUGGAUUGAGUCUUCGAAUGUGUUCAAGUACUGUCAUGCGGCUAGAAGGUGCUCAAGCCUCAGUUAACUUGGUCUUGAAUCUUGAAUCUUGAAUUUAAUAUGGAAAAUCGCACUUCAUAUGGAGUAGCCCUCGAGCCUUAGGUUGAAUCGAAGAAUCAGGCUGAGGGUCAAUCUUGUAAUUUCACAUCUUUUUCCCCUUAAAACCCGAAGAAUUUUUUUUUGUCCAAUGGGCAUGUGGCACACAGCUCCCAAGCCGUUACAUGACUACUUUGGGUAUAAGGGUCAACCACUGAUCCAUGUGACCGUUCGCCUUCAGAAAUCUUAUCUCUUCCGAAGAAAUUGGAAACCAUUCCAGCAAUAACCAAGGGCUUUCAAAAUGGAAUAUUCCCCAUAAUUCUCGCCUCUUAGUUAACUGUACCGCAGUUAUGAAUAUCGGAGGGACUUAUCCCUUCCAUUUCACCCGAGCUAGUGUGCCCAUUCAUCUUCUCACUGUUGCCCUAGCGCCGCUGCUUGCCACCCCGAGCACUAUUGCCCUAGCACCGCCGCUUGCCAUUCCUGAGAGCCGCCACCCCUCCACUGUUUAGCCCUCCAGCUCAUGCGCCAAAAGACCAUUGGAGCCAUUGUGCCAAGGUGGCUGAGACCAAGAAGUGCAAGGCCACCAAGAAGAAGAGGAGAUCCAACUGCCAGCGCCCAAGUACGGGAAGACCAACUAGACAGCACCGCCGAAUCAGGCCUGCGUCUGGAAGAAAUCUGUCUUGAAAGAGGUGGAUAUCCAGGUACUAGUGAAUGCGAAUCUUCUCCAGGAGAAGGAAUUUGCCGAUUGGAGGGAAGCAGCCGGCAAUCUAUGGCCUCUAGAGAGCUACCCGAAUGAGACAGUCAUCUUCACGCAUUUCGUUGAGCGCAGGCUGGCUCUACCAUCAUCCAACUUCUUUAGGGGUCUUUUGAGGUACUACAAUCUGGAGCUAGUUCACCUCAACCCCAAAUCCAUUUUGCACGUUGCUAUCUUCGUGCACCUCUGCGAGGCCUUCCUGGGCAUUCAGCCCCACUUCCAGUUGUUUAGGAAGUUCUUCAGAGUGAAACCCCAACUCCGGAUGGACCACACAGAAUUAGUCGGAGGGGCGGGGAUCCAGCUUCGGGAGCAGUUCAAGAGCCAGUACAUUGAGUAUAAACUCAUAGACUCCCAUUCUGGUUGGAAGCGACAAUGGUUCUACAUCGGUAAUCACGAGCCCAUCUUCACAAGGUACCGACCACCGUCCAGUGUGGAACAACCAUUGGCUGGAUGAGCCGAGUACUACCGAUGGCUUUCAGCUGCCAGAUUUGAUUGCGAAGAUUGCCCGCCUCAAGAAGGAUGGUCUGACCGGCGUCGGUGUGGCCUUCAGCUUCAUGAGGAGACGUGUCCAGCCCCUGCAGCUGCGUUGCAUAGCAGGGUACGAUUACUAGGGUCCCAAUGACCCGUCACGGAUGAUGUUUGAGCAGUUGUCACCAGACGAAGUGAUGGCGCGUCUGAAGCACUUCUUUAAACACAUCACAGGCAUCCCGACAAUCGUGUAAGAGCACUGCGCCGCUAACCUGCCAAACCAAGUAAGUACCCGUGGCCUGCAGUCCCCGAGUAAUAAUUUUGGCAUCUGUCAGUUUUGCUAACUAGUCUUAUUGGUUGCAGGAUGAACUUAACUUGUAUGUUUCGAACCCUCCUUCGUCUGGUGCUGACGUCACGCCCCGUAUACAGUCCCUUGUGGCUGUACAAAGGGCGAUCGAGGAGGAGGAGAAGGAAAAGGAGCAGGAGAACUCACUAGACUGGUCCUCCUUCAGCAGCUCUGAUUAAGAUUCUACUAAAAAAUAUGUUGUCAAGCCCCAUCUUUCCAACAAGGAGAGGUCAUCUUCUGUGAUGUCCAAGCGUGCAGCGAAGGACGUUUAGGAAGUCGAAGUAGCACCACUCCCGAAGAAGGCGUGUACUGUCACCAUCAAACAGGCAGUGAAGAAGUUGUCAGCCGAUGAAGUCCUGCCUCAGGUAACAAGAUCUUGAGGAUCAAGUACCCAUAAUGUGUUUACUUUAUCACCACUCUCACCAUUGACUCUAUUAUGGCCGAGUUGCAGGUAGUCGAGGUGGAGACAGAGGUGGAAGAGCCGACUAUAGAGGAAGUCCCGGCGCCAAGUACUCAACAAGAUGAGAUGAUGGCUAAGGUUGGUGAGCAUCUAACUGUGAUCCGGUGAGCUGCGCAAAAGAAGCUGUCACCUACCAUUAAGGCACUGCACUUGGGAACCGGACCCUCCAUCAAGAUAAAGAGGUUUACCCAAUAAGUAUUCGUGUACUAAGUGUAACUUGAUGUCACCGAGUAGUGUGUUGUAACACUUGUCUCGUUUAAGGAAAUCCACCAGUGUGGAAGCUGAGAGCCUGAGUACGAAGUCUGGGGUUGAUGGCAGUAGCUGCUCAGCCCAGGAAGUUGUCCUGGAGUCCGAAGUUCCACCGCCGGAGGAGCAGCCCGUGCCCGAAGUCACUCCAGGUGCGGUGUCCCUUGUAGCAGCACUUAUGCAUGAUAUCUUGUCAUCAUUUGACGUAUCUGCAGUGCCAGCCCCCGAGCUGCCGAAGGCCGAACCCAUCGCGGAGGGUACUUCCGCGGUGGUGACGCAGCUGGUGACUCUGAUGGUGAAUCCAAAGGUCGAGCCGGAGCUGGAGGCCGAGGUGGAGGUGGCAGCUACUGGUGAAGUUGAGGUGCUCUCGAGUUUGAGUGAUCAAUUGAAGUACAUGACCCAGUGCUCUGGUCUUUCUGCUUCUGCGGUACUUGAUUUUCCUGCGGACCCUGCCAUGAAAUCGACUAGUGCUUGUGACUUGAUGGCAGUCCUUGGCUUGAAUUUCAGGGACAAGACUCCGAGUUCCACUGCCGACUUGAAGAAUCUUCCUGUUGCAUCUCUGUUGUGGAGGAUGUCUCCCAAGGGGAAGUCUAUGAUGACGGAGAUGUUAUGUUCCUGGAAGUAGUGUCGUAGCUUCCGCGAGGUGAGUAGUAUUGCGUAUAGCAACUUCUGUACUGGCGGGUACCUAGUUUCGGAGUCUGACAACACCUCACUGACGAAGUAGACGGGCCUCUGUAUUUUAUAUACAUGGCCUAGUUCUGGUCUUUCGGCCACGAUCGUCGUGCUAACAACAUUAGUAGUCACAGCGAUGUAGAGCAGCAAAUCUUCAUUGGGCGUAGGCGCCGUGAGGACCGGUGGCUUUAAUAAGAAGUCCUUUAGUUGUUAAAAGACUUGUUCCACCUCCUCGGUCCACUGGAAUUUUUCUUGCCGCUUGAGUAGUUUGAAGAAGGGUAGUCCCCUUUCUCCAAGUCUUGAGAUGAAUCUGUCGAGAGCCACCAUACAUCCAGUCAGCUUUUGGACAUCCUUGAUGCACGAUGGAGCGUGCAAGUUGGUGAUGGCAGCGAUCUUCUCGAGAUUAGCAUCGAUUCCUCGAUGACUGAUGAUGAACCUGAGUAGUUUUCCGGAGGGUACACCGAACACACAUUUUGUUGGGUUCAGUUUCCACCAGUAUGCUCACAAGCUUGCGAAGGUUUCUUCGAGAUCUGCAAUGAAGUUGUCAGGAUUUUUGGUCUUUAUGACUACGUCAUCCACGUAUGCCUCUACAUUAUGGUGUGGUUGCUCUUUGAAGCAUUCUUGGGUGGCUCGUUGAUAUGCAGCGUCUGCGUUCUUCAAUCCGAAGGAUAUUGUGGUGUAACAGAAGGUUCCAUACGGGAUGAUGAACGCGAUCUUGAUCUGAUCUUCUUCCAUGAGGGCUAUCUGGUGAUACCCCGAUUAGCAGUCAAGGAAACAAAGUAGAGCGCACUCAGCAGUUGAGUCGAUGACUUGAUCAAUCCUAGGGAGCACGAAGGGAUCCUUUGGACAGUAUUUGUUGAGGUCCGUGUAGUCAACACACAUCCUCCACUCAUUAUUGUUCUUCUUCCACACUAAGACGGGGUUGGCCAGCCACUCUGGAUGAUAGACUUCUUCUAUGCAGCCAGCCACGAGUAGUUUGGCUAACUCUUUUUUGAUGGCUUCUCUUUGGUCUUGGGCGAAUCGACAUUGUCGUUGUCGUUUGGGUGUAGCUUUGGGAUCCACAUUUAGCGAGUGCUCGAUCAACUCCCUGGGCACCCCCGGCAUAUCAGAUGGCUUCCAUGCAAAGAUGUUUCGAUUGGUCCGGAGGAAGCUGACGAGCGUGUCUUCCUAUUUGGGAUCCAGCACUGAGCCAAUCAAGGCUGUCUUGGAGCUGUCGCCGGUCUCAAGGUCGAUAGAUUUGAUAUCAACCUCUCCUGUCGGCUUGACCUUGGUCGCCCCCAACUUCUUCUCUAGGAUUUCAAGUUCUGUCGGGGACAAUUUCUUAGAGGCGGCAAGACUUGCAUCAUCGAUUUUGGCACUUGAGUAGUCGCCGCCAGCUCCACAACUUCUAUGUCGCAGUCGUAUGAUCUCUUUAAGUCUCCGGACAAGGAGAGUACUCCCUUGGGUCCCGGUAUUUUGAGUACUAGGUACACGUAAUGUGGGAUGAUUAUGAAUUUGGCCAGUGCUGGUCUUCCAAGGAUGGUGUGAUACGAUGUUUCAAAGUCAGCCACCUCAAACCGGAUGUACUUGAUCUGGUAAUGAUCCUUGGUCCCAAAAGUAACUGGCAAAACCACCUGACCAAGGGGUACAUCCGCGUUACCCGGGAUGAUCCCGUAGAAUGGAGAGUUCAUCGGGGUGCAUAUCUGUAAUGUUGAGGCCCAUCUUCCUCAGAGUCUUGGAGAAGAGCACCUUGAGGCCGUUGCCGCCGUCGAUGAGUACUUUUGUGAGUCGAGAGCCUAUGACUACUGGAUCCAGGACGAGAGGGUAGCGCCCCGGAUCUAAGAAGUUAGUCCACUGAUCCUUCCUUGAGAAGGUGAUUGGCACCUUGGACCACUUGAGGAACAUAGGUGUUGCUGGUUCAAUGGAUAUGAUCUCCUGGAGGGCUAAUUUUUGGGACCGCUUUGUGGCAGUACCCGGUGUAUCGUCGAAGAUCACGUUGAUGGUGUUGGACGGGUUCUGGAAUUUUCCAUUGUCGUCCUCGUCUUCAUCUUCUUUGGCCUUUCCCUUGUCCUUUGCUCCAGAAAGUUCUGGUAAAUCUUUCAUAACUCUGCAAAGGCUAUAGCAAUCCAUCGCAGAGUGUUUAGAGUGUGGAUGCCAUGGGCACUGCUUUUUCAGGAGAUCCUUGAAUGGAGUCCUCUCUUGAUUUCCACUGAUUUUCUUGAAGGACUAGGAUAUCGCGGUGACAGUAUUGUCUAUCAUCCUCUUGCGGUUUUGACUACCCGAGUAGUUGCCUCGGUUGUCGUUGGGGUGAUCGUUGCGAUUGUUGCCGUUAGUUUGGCCAUUGCUCUGGUUGUUGUUGUUCUGGCCUCGGUUAUAGUUAGACUCAAACCGCUUGAUCUCUUUGUCUUCUUCAUCCACCUAGGCUUGAAUCAUAGUCUUGAAGGACUUGAUAUCUUUCGGGCAUCUUCUGCCAAAGUCUUGGAACAUCCGGCGGUUGUAGAGACCGUUCUGGAAGCACUCUAUGGCGUCCUGCUCCGUGAUGUCCACGACAGUGGCUUUCUUGUCGAAAAAACGGUGUAGAUAACUACGCAGAGUCUCGCCUUGUUGCUGUUUAACUUGCAAUAUGGUGAGUAGGUCAAUGGUGGUGAUGGUGGCGAGAGAAGUGUGAUGGUGAUGCGUUUGAAUUGUUUCGAACGUGUGAUCCAAGUUCAUGAUGGGUAGGUCAGGUGCAAGGCGGCGGCGACAUUCUGUUCGUGCCGUGUUCCUUGUUCGCCGAUGAUUCCUUUAACUUUCGGUCUCUUCUCCUUGGACAUUUGCGGAUAGCUCAUCCGCUGACACGUCGUCCGCAUGGCGCUCGCGUCGUGGAUGUCUUUUUGAUGACUCCUCACCAUUGCCGUCUUGUGCAGCGACGAUGGCGAGUAGUUCUCGCUCUAGGGAGAAACUACUCGAGCUUGACAUGAUGAUCUCUGUAGGGCCGUCUUCUUUGUAGAUAAGCAAUAGAGAAGUUCCCUCCUGGUAUGGAAGGUUGUCGAGGUACGCGAUGAGGCGUGAAUCGUUGUCCCUAGCGAGAGCAUAUGGUUUCAUGUCGGGCCAAUAGACAAAUCUGCCUUGUGGAGUAGAUGUGAUUACCAGGCCCUGCUGUGGACCUGAUAAAGGAGUCUCCUUGUCCGGAUCUGAGUAGUAGUUGGAGUCCUCGAUCAAAUCUGAGUUGGAUUGGGAUCUGGAUAGGGAAGCUUGGUAGACAUCACCCGUGUUUCGGAGUCCGAACAGGAACGGAGUUGUAUUGUAGACCGAUUCACAUGAUGGCUCGAGCGCCAGCUCAUGGGAACCAGUUCGACUGGUAGGAGAGGUCGAGUUGUACUCGGACUCGUCCCUUGAUCCUCGAAAGAAGUCAAAAAUUUCAUUGAAUUUUUCAACAAAAUCCUCAAAAGCUUGGCGAUGGAGGUUGAUGUCAUAGUGCUUCUCCUCUAGGGCCGGCUUGAUGUGGAGGCGGAAGUUUCCAGCGCCGUCCGCGACGCAGACCCAGGAGCCGAAGACGAACGUCGCGCCUUCUUCGAACGCGAUGGUGAGCUUAAUGACGACUUGAGCCAUCGAGUUCGCUGGUGGAUCUUUAGCGAGAUCCCCUACCUGGCAUGCCAGCUGUCGGUGUUUAGACCCGGCAACCUACCAAGGGGUACCCGAGGUAUGUUUUAUGCAUGGGGCUCGCCGAAGACAUGGAACUCGAAGGUGAACUCGAAUACACGAUUUGGACAGGUUUGGACCGCUUAUGUCGCAUAAUACCCUACGUCCUGUGUGUUUGUUGGAUUGUAUUGACUGAUGUUCGUUUGGAGGAGGUCCCUACCUCAUCUUAUAUUGCUGGGGGCAGGGUUACAGGUCGGUUGUUUACAAGAGUACUAGUUCAUUCGACCCAGAGAGUACUACUCUAAUUACUACGAGUAAUUCCUAAUCCUUAUCCUCCACGUAGACCACGCCGUCCUGCACCGUAAUCUCCAUAUCUGACACAUCUCGGUGUACAGCCCCGUAUUGUAGGACUGUCCAAGCCUCCCGGUAGGUCCAUAGGUCCAUAGAUGUAUGGCCGGCAAUUAGUGAAUCAUGACAAAUCAUCAAAUAAUUGUAAGGAGCUGUAUAACUAGCAAGGAGCUGUUUCAAUACCUGAGGAGCAAAAUGAACUUAAAAAAAAAGUUGGUGAAGCUGAAAAUUAUGGCUCUAGCUCUGCGGGCUACAAUAGCAAUGCCGUUGGGCGGAGCUACACCAAGCAUGUCUAGUUCAACAUUAAUUGCAUCCUAUUUUUGUAGUUUGUAAAGAAAUGGGCGCUAACCCGUGCCAUGGUAUCUGAUAAAAAGCCAGAACAAACAUUAAACCAUACCCAGGUAAAAUGUUUUUCCAAAUCUCUAAUCUGGCUUGAUGAGCAUAAAAUCCAGUAAUGAAGACAUUUCUAUACAGUGUCGAGGAGUCGGAGUAGGCUGUAGCAUUUUUCGGUUCGGCCCAUUCACAACCAUCACAGCCGGCCCAACCCAACCCAUCUAGCAAAACCCUAUCUCCGCUCAGUCAAUGAGGCGUAGCGCGCUGUCGACUCGUCGACCACGCGCCUCCGUGGCCGCCCCCGUCGCGUCCACCAAGCGCCACCACGUGCCCGCCGCCCGUCCGCCCGCCCGCCCGCUGUCCGCAGCCACUCUUCCCCUAAACCCUAGCAAGCAGACGAAACCCCCCGCCCUGGCGCCCUGCCCACCUCAUCCUCGAAUUCGCCAUGGCGGCGAUGCCCGCCACCUCCUCCGCCUCCCCCUGCCAGGCGCCGUUGCCCGCCGGCCUGGGCCUCCCGCUCCUCACCUCCCCAAGCGCCCGCGCCGGCACCCUCGCCUUCGGCCGCCGCGGCCUCCGCCUCCGCCUCCGCGGCGCCGCCGCGGUCCCGCCCGCAGGUGAGGACCCUACGGCGACCCUCUUUCGGUUCUUAAAUGCGACGCUUGAGUAGAAAUGAGGGAUCAGAAAGAAGGGAACUUCUUGUAUUUUGGUGGCGGCGGUUGCAAUUUUGCUAAGUGAAGUGGCUUGGGCGAGAAAUUGCAAAUUUGUUGCGAGGUUGCUCGAAUUUUUUUUGUUCUGUAGUUCUUGUGAGAGGCUAUGGAAGCUCGUUGUUACAUUCUGUAGUGCUGAUGAUAUAAUAGACAGGGUAAGUAAGUCUGUUACUUGUCUUGAGAGCUGGAUUCUGUGGUCUACAGAUGGAGAGCACACUCAGAUGGGUUUGCGAAGAUUGUAAUUGUUUAGAUGCUGAACUGCCUGCUGUGGGCACCUCCAGCAUACAGGUGCCAUGGUUGGCAACCACUGGAGCACUGGGUUUAGAAGAGAUAAACUAGAUUGAUUUGGAAAAUAGAUAGCAUUUGGAAGAGAAUGGAUUUAUUUCAUCCAUCACAUAGCUGGCCUUUGUAAAUUCAUUAUGGCCAAACCCUCAUAGGGCUAGAACUUGGGACUCUAUCUUGAGUUUCCGAACUCUAAAUCAGAUUUACUCUGCCUACUCUUGCUCUUUCAUAAUCUAUAUGCAAGCCUAGUGCCUCCCUUAACCUACCCGGGCUCAGAUAUGUGCCAACUGAUUAAAGUCCAGAACAGGUGGGGUUUUUUUGAACUCAAAAUUAUGAUGAUGUGAAUCAAAGCGGCAACCAUUACAAUUUAGCUAUUGGUGGUCGGUUGUAUAUUACACAACUGAUGUUAUCGUCAGUCAAGCAGUAGUUCUUCUUACUAAUGCAUUUGAAGGUGCACAUAUACAUAAACAAUGUGUACUGCUGAAUCAGUAAGAGAAUAAGUUUGCUCUUCAACAUCAUUUUUUUUUUGCCCAUAUCCCUUACAAUGUUCAUAGCAUAUAUGUAUGUUAUCAAAGCAUUGUUGAUUCCUUAUGAUGUAAAAAAAGAGUGAAUGAUCGUCUUUUCCUCUUCCCCACCUAAACGAAUGAAAUGGAUGCUAAUGUGGUUGUUCUGUUCAUUUGCACACACCAAUGUCAAACAUUGUGGUUGUUCUGUUCUCCUUUUCUUUUCCUGAGACCAAGGCUGGUAAUGUGUUAAUUGAUCAGAUUUUAGUCUAAAUUCACCUUUCCCCGAAUUUCUCUUGAAACUUUAAUUACAAAUGAUAUAAAUAAGAAGCAAGAUUGAAAAGAACACAACAUAGGAUAUACUCACCAGGUGGUAUGCCUGACACUAACCUGGAAAUUGUUCCUGCCCAUCAUCAUUUUGAACCCUGGCUGACACUACACCCAAUUAGUCUAACGGGAUAACUGAGCAUGUCUUUAAUUUGAAAACACGUGAUAAGUUUAGUAGUCUCCUUAGUUCCUUGCUAGAUUUGUAUAACUUGCUCAACUCAAAAGGUUCUUUUGAUGUUUACAUUAAAUGAAGGUUAUCUUGAUGAUUCGUAUAUUCCUUGGAACUCAUUCAUGUCAUUUAUUAGUUUAAGGUCAUGCUCUGAGCAUUUUCCUUCCAAUAAGUUAGGAUCUGUUUACCAGCCUUUGGGGCCUUUUCUCAGUCUUGCAGCUCAAGAAAAUUCUUCUUACUGCAACACCUUGGGGGAGGUCCUCCCCUAGGGCUGAUUUUUUUUCCUGCAAUUUUUAUGGAUAUUUUGUUUUGGGUGUUAGUGAUAAAAAUACUUAUAUCAAUAUUCUAGGUAAUUAAGGAUGCCAAAGAAAUUCACUUGCCUUCUUAUUUUCAUAUUUCUGUAGAAACAGUUGGGUGGUGUUAUGCACGGCAAGCAGUUACGAGUCCAGGUUCCAGAGGAUUAAGUUGUUAGCUUCGUUUCGGUUAGGAGUUUCGUUGUGUUUCAGAUUAAUAGGAGGUUAGUUGGUAGAUUUUGUAACUUGGGCAAAGGGAAAGUAGCCGGCUAUUUAUAUGGAGCCGAUGCAAUCAGGAAAACCAAGCAAUAGAAUCAAUCUAGUUCCCCAGUCUAUUUUCUUUAUCCCUGCCUCCAGGUUGCGGCGUCGAUCACGGCACCCAAGCCGCGGCCUCGAGGUCUAGGGCCACGUCCAUCUACCUCUCACGACUACACCCUAUGCCAUAUUCCAUCCUCCAACACCCUUGCCCAUAACAAUCUUGUAUCAGAUAGCUCAGGUGCCGAUUCCAUGGAAGCCACCAACAAAUCUCUCCAGGAGCUCACCGACGCUGUCUGCAAGCUAUCUGAGAAGAUGACGGCAUUGGAGCCGCUUGUUCCCUGUGUGUCCGACCUUGCAAAAAUUCCGGCUGCGAUGACAUCGCUGAAGGAGUCUGUGAAGGACAGCGGUGAGCAGAUAAGGGCUAUCAAUCUGGCCGUGAAGAAGCUGGAACUUGGUGGCCACGAUGACCAAGACGCAUUGAAGAACAAGGAUAAGAUGGAGGACGAUGGCCUCAUUGGUAAGAGACCGGCGCCGCCUGCGUUCUCGAGCCCACCACCGCCACUACUUCCUCUGAAGACUCGUACACACCAGCAGCAGGAAGGGAGCAAGGAUUGUUUCUGUACACGCGUCCUCAAGCUAGACUUCCCCACCUAUGACGGAACUGGGGAUCCGCUGCCGUUGCUGAACCGAUGCGAACUGUAUUUUCGCGGUCAAAACAUGCCAGAGUCUUGGCGGGUCUGGUUGGCAUCGCUCCACCUGACGGACGCGGCGCAACUCUGGUAUUACUGCUUGGAGAUCAACGGUGGUGAGCCGUCAUGGCGUCAGUUCGUGCAGCUGGUGCCCAAGAGGUUGGGCCUCCCAUGACCGAGUCACCGCUCGGGGAAAUCACCAUGUUGUGCUGCUCUGGAUCGGUUGACGACUACAGCAAACAGUUCAUCGCUUUGGCGUGCCGUGACAUCGAGCUCACCGAGAAACAGCAGGUUCAGAUCUUCAUUGCCGGACUCGUCAACCCACUGAAGACGGACGUGGCGCUCCAGCGACCUGCUUCUCUGGAUGAUGCCAUCAUGCUUGCACGGGCUUAUGAGCAACGUCAAAUGUUGGAGCCCGAGACAACACCUUCUGGCUCUCGCAGCACACACAUACCAGCGUUACCAGCGCCUACAGACUCGACGGGAUCGACAGCAGCUUCCUCAGCUAUGGCAGGGUCUGGGAAGUUGGUCACGCUGUCAGCAGCUCACCUCAAUGGAGAUGGCUCAACGCCGAGCAGAAGGCCUGUGCUAUAAUUGUGAUGAAAAGUUCGUGCAAGGUCAUCGUUGUAAGAGGCUCUUCAUACUUGAGGUAAUCCCAGCAGAUGAUGGAUCCCUGGACACCACAACAGAGCAGCCGGAGAUCUCGCGAGCCAUCUUGGAUUGAGGAGUUUCAUCAUCUAUGUGCAGCUUUGCAGCUCGAGGACGAGCUGCUUCUCUUGGGGGGGUAGAAAUGUUAUGCACGGCAAGCAGUUAGGAGUCCAGGUUCCAGAGGAUUAAGUUGUUAGCUUCGUUUCGGUUAGGAGUUUUGUUUGUGUUUCAGAUUAAUACGAGGUUAGUUGGUAGUUUUUUGUAACUUGGGCAAAGGGAAAGUAGCCGGCUAUUUAUAUGGAGCCGAUGUAAUCAGGAAAACCAAGCAAUAGAAUCAAUAUAGUUCCCCAGUCUAUUUUCUUUAUCCCUGCCUCCAGGUUGCGGCGUUUAUCAUGGCACCCAAGCCGCGGCCUUGAGGUCCAGGGCCACAUCCAUCUACCUCUCACGACUACGCCCUACGCCAUAUUCCAUCCUCCAAAACCCCUGCCCAUAACAGGUGGUACUACGAUUUUUUGACCAUCUUUGACGUAUUUUGUUGUAGAAUUUACAUACUAUAUUUUAUGACUAUCUUUCAGUCUCUGUUAUAGCGUUUUUGAACGCUUGUUCAUUUCAGAUGCUACAGCAGCAGUCCCUUAGCUUCUUAUUCUUCUGGCUUAAUGCAUAUAGAUUGACACCUUCUCACUCUCUUUUGGCUUACUUGUGUGCAAAUGCUCCAUUUUGUCCAGAGGUCACAAACAAAACAAGUUUAAACUUCCUCAGAAGUAUUUAUCCAGAAUAUUAUUUUGAAUUGUAGACAUGCCUGUAUGUUUAAACCCCUGUCAGCUUCUUGAACAUGCUUAGGAAGAACAGCUCCUACUAGUUUAUUCAGAUGCGAGCCUACUAGGCAUCCACAAUUCUCUUGAUACGGCAAUGAUAUGUAUUUGGGUGUAUAUAGUAGACUUGAGCUCAUGAGGUUCCCUAUAGCUUCCUCUUUAUCUAUUCUUGAAAAGUUUUUUCUCCUCAGUUUAAUAGCAUACUUUUGUUUUUAAAGAUUGAAUAGGAUUCCCUGCUUUAUUUGGGUGACAUACUUUUCUUGUCUUGAUCACAGGACAUCUAUUUCUUGGUCUUCCCAAGCCACGAUGCUCAUAUAUUGCAGCCAUUGGCGAUGUGGCAGCGGUUUCCGAUGAUUAUAUAGAUAGCUCGCCAUCAAGCAGUGGAUAUCCAAAUAGUUCAAUGGGUUCUUCAUCUCAUGAAGAUAAUCAACCAGAAAGGGUUGUUAAGAUGAACCAAAAAUCUAAAGACAGCAAUAAAAUGAUUAAAAUAUGUGAUAAGUUAAUUGGCGUAUUCAUGGUUGAUAAACCUACACCAACGGAUUGGAGAAAAUUACUGGCGUUUAGCAGAGAAUGGGACAACAUAAGACCGCAUUUCUUUAAACGCUGCCAGGAAAGAGCGGAUGCAGAGCCGAACCCUGAGAUGAAGCACAAGCUUCUCAGGCUUAGUAGGAAACUGAAAGAGGUAAUGACCUUAUUAAAAUAAUUGUGCUUCACCUGAUUAUUUAAUUUAAAAUUCUUAUAAUUGAUAUUAAUAUAGUUUGUCCCUUCUUUUUAGAUUGAUGAGGAUGUACAGAGGCAUAAUGAACUUCUUGAAGUAGUAAAAUCCACACCAUCUGAUAAAAUUGGUGCUAUUGUUGCUAAGCGGCGUAAAGAUUUCACAGUGGAAUUUUUCAACCACCUUUACUAUGUUGCGGAGUCUUAUCAUGAUGAACCUGAAAAGCAAACUGGUGAGCUGUACAUGAGAACUUGACUAUUAUGUUGGCAAACUUUUUAUGUUGUUUCCUUGUAUCUUUUAUUUUGCAUUUUAUGAUGUAAACCCUUUUUAUUAUUUUGCCAUCUCUACUUUUCCAAAUGUAUCACAUAUCAUGAAAUAGAGAAACAUAUCCUCUUGACAAUUUACUAAUGUGCUUAUCCUAAUAGAGUUGUAUCUGUUGUACAACUAACACCCUUAACAGUUCCAUGCGUAGAAUGUAUUUGUUUACUCUGCACUUUCAUAAUGAGCACCAUCUCCUUUCUCAGAAUUAUUCAAUGAUUUCUGGGAACUUUUAUUUUUUGUAGCUUCCAAUCUCAUCCAUUUAGACACAUUUAGACAGCAGAGGUGUCGAUCCCUUAUCUGAAGAUAAAGAUAUUACUUUGUGUUGUUAGGCCGAUUGAACGGUAGUACUGUACUGAUUCUUGUUUUUUUAUGCUUGUAGAGUUGGCAAAGCUUGGAAAUGAUUGUGUAGAUGCUCUACAAGCUCACGAUGAUACAACUGGGAGUCUUGAGGCUUUGAAUGCUGCAGAAUUGAAGUUAAAAGAUAUACUUAAUUCAUCUUCGGUGGAUGCUGCUUGCAGAAAGAUUGAUGACUUGGCUGAGAAGAAGGAACUGGACUCUGCAUUAGUGUUGAUGCUUUCAAAAGCUUGGUCAGCUGCAAAAGGCACUGACAUCACUAAAUCUGAGGUAAAUGAUUAUAGGACUCAGCAAACAUGUAUGCUGUUGAGUUGCUGUACUUUUUCAGUUAUCUUUCAGAACUGUGCUCUGGUGCACAAAAUUCAUCUUUGAUUAUUUCAUUAUCUACUAAACAUGUCACAGGCAAAGGAUAUAAUGUUUCAUCUAUACAUGACUGCGGUGGCUAAUCUCCAGAGACAAAUGCCAAAGGAUAUUAGAAUACUGAAGCAUCUUAUAAUGAUAGAGGAUCCAGAAGAGCGGUUGAGUGCACUGAAUGAUGCUUUUACUCCUGGUCCUGAACUUCAAGGGGACAAUGUUGAUACAUUAUACACGUAAGUACUAUUGGUGCUUCAAUGGAUGCUUUGUCACUGUUCCUUCUGUCGUUUUCAUGUCGCGUGUUGCCUGGUGGAUUGCAGGAGUCCAGAGGCAUUACACACUUGGGCAAGUGCUAUAGUAGAUGCAUAUUAUAACAGCAGAGAAGGCACUCUCCUUGGACAAGCAAGAGACUUGAUGAACCCAAAAAUCAUCAGGAGAGUCGAAGAGAUAGUGAAGAUAAUCAAGGACAAAUACCUUUAAUCUUUGGUUAUCAGAAAUUUUGGGUUUUAACAUUUCUACUGAUUGCACAAAGUCUUGCGCGGUGACCAUAGGAUGAUGGCCCUGUACGAACUGCUCCCUGCAAAACUACAGGCAUUAUUCCAGCGGAACUCUUCACCACUGUCGACUCCUUACAGAUUAAAGGAAAUGCAGAUUGUUGUAACUCAUUACAUGAAAAGGUGGUUGUAGCAUGUGAUGUAUCAAUGUAGCUUUCACAUAGAUAUUAAGGGAGUAUCCACGUCUCGUACACACUAACAGUGUUGUAACUGGUUUGACUAGUUUAGAAUCAGAAGUCAUAUGUAUGUACCCAAAUAUCCUUGUAAUGAGCUCCUCGAUGAUCUCAAUAGUUGUACGGAUGGUGCUGACCCACUCUGAUUAAGACUUCUAUUUCAGCAUGACAAAUGUUUCUGGACAUGUUUGAGGCUUUGAGCCGAAUGAUGUAAUAAGACUCAGUCGAUGCUCAUAUUUACAGCUAUGUUACCCAUGUGGCAUAGUCAACAAGAUUAAGAAGGUCUAUCAAACUACAACUUCUCGAUAGAUAUGUUUUGCUGCAUUCUUAUAAAAAAUUGUUUGCUCUCAUGCAGCUGCAGGACAAAGAACUCUAGUGGAGUAAAAGCCUCAAACUCUGGAUUAACGCCUGGUCCUGCGAACACGUAUGUUAUCCUCAAACCUAUGCCGGGAUAUUAUAUUGAAUAGACAAUCAUUUAGUGAUCUUUCAGAAAUCUAGUUUAUAUUGUUUACCGUAAGGUCAUUUUCCGUCCUACUCCUCAAUCUUGUUUGAUGUUUCGUGCUAUCCCUCUGUAUGAUGUGGUUGACAGUUACGACAAGCUUUUUACAUGUAUUUACUUGCCCAGAUAAGCUACUGUGGUUUUCAUACACGAAGGUCAUUCCAAAUAAACAGCGCACACCAAAUGGAACUUCAAGUUGCUGUUAAAUUGCAAAUAAUUUAACCAAGAUACUGUUGAUUCCACAGGCAAAUCCAAAUCAGCCGUUAAAUUUUUUAACUUCUGUUGGUUUUCUACUGCUUUUACAGUUGGCAUGUUAUGCCGCAUCGUUUUAUACAUUAUAUGUCGUAAUUUAUCUAGUGUGUUAGUACCAUCCCCCUUUAUAAUGUGGUUGAGAGUUGAGACAAAACAUUUACGUGUGUUUGCUUGCAAAGAUGAAUAACCGUGCUUUUCAUGCAAAGGUCACUGCAAAUAAACUAAUGUGGGAGAAAUGAAAACUCCAACUUGCUGUUAAAUUCAAAAGGAUUUAGACAAAGAAUAUGCUGAUUCCACCGACUGAUCCAGAUCGACCAUAGAAAUGUUCAAAUUUCUUUUGGGUCUACUGCUUUUACAAAUCAGACGCUUGCAUCGUUUGGACCACUACCUCUAAGGUCUAACAAAUUCCUGCAUAUCUUGUUUGAGGUUGGUAGGUACUACAUACCAUCCUACGUAUAAUGUGGUUGGCAGUUAAGACAAAACUUACGUGUAUGUUUGCUUGCCACGAUAAACAACCGUGCUUUUCAUGGUCACUCACUGCAAAUAAACUAGUGUGCGCAAAAUUUAAAAGUUCAACUUGCUGUUAAAUUCCAAAGGAUUUAACCCGAGAAUAUGCUGAUUCCGCUGGCAAUUCAGUAUCAACCACAGAAAUGUUCAAAAUUUAGUCUGGUUUUACUGCAUUUACAAUCGAGAGAUGCUUCCAAGUUCCAACGUCUCUGGACCACAACCUCCAAGAAGGUUUAAAACAAUUUUUGCAUAGAAGAAAGAGGUGUGAUAGGAUAUAGUGGUUCAAAAAUGAGUUUUUAACAGCAGUACAGGCAGGUUCAGCUCCCGAGCGUAGUUGUAAGGAGUCGGUGCUCGUAGCCUAAGAGGGGGAGGGGUGAAUUAGCCAACUUAAAACUUUAACUUAUGACUUUCACUACUUUUGCAUCAAACUUAAACUAGAUCAAGCUAUCAAUCUAGUAUGAAACCCUCGUCCCAAAAUAAGUUUUGCAACCUAGAGCCAAUCCUAACAAGAUACUACACUAAGAAAGUAAAGGCACAUAAGUUGCAAUUAUGAAAUGCGGAAAUGUAAGAGGUGAGGAUGAGGGGAAGCAAACUCUUUGACACGAUGAUUUAUCCCAUAGCAUCGGUAGGCACUAAGCCACCGCUAGUUCACGUUGUUGAAGCACUCACACAAGAGUAUUGCUUACCGGUCACAAGUCUCUUCCGGGACACCCCUUGACUUGCCACAAAGGCUUGACCACUAAGGAUCACGUCAAGUUCCCCGGUCACCUUGAUGCCAUCUCCACUAAGGAGCUUUUCCACGAAGGGGUCUCCACAUCCCCUGCAUACGGUCGUCGAUGCUGCUCCACACAAAGCCGCAGGGUUGAAGACUUGCCAGCGAGCCGCCAAGGCUCCAAGGUGCCGGCACACCUUCUACAGCUAUGGUUCACUCCUAGAACCGAUCACAAGGUAAGCACAACUUGCACUCUCUCUUCUCUAGGUCUAUCCUAACACUAAUCACUCUUCUAAGCUUGUGCUAAGUCUUUGACUAAUCACUUAUGCACUUUUGGUGGCUUGGAUGUGUUCUUGAUAAGUCUUGAUCUUCAAUGGAUUCUUGCACACUCCAGCAAC